CCAACAGCGACUUGUGACUGGUAAACGAGCGUUGGUCUAAAAAUAUUGGUUGCUACGGAAGUAGAAGACAUCCUUUCAGUUUUGUUGGUCCGCGGUUUGUCUGCAAGGUGCUCUAUGCUGCUGUACCCCAGGCUGGGGUGGCCCUCUCGAUGGUGUCCCCCACCAUGAAGGCCCUGGUGGAUGUAUUCUGGGUGGUGUGGAGCAUUGGUGCCUCCAUCUACGACUACCUGAACACCAGCGCCAUGGAGGAGCGCAUCCACACGCUGGAGAACACCAUCACCUUCCACCAGUGUGUCAUUGGCUUGCUGACUGUGGGCCUGGCCUUGCUCUUCACCUACAUCCUGCUGAGGAAGCGCUGAGGCAGCACCGGAGGGGUAUGGGAUCACAGUCCGGACUCACCACGCGCUGAGGGGAUGGGGGUAUGUCAGCACCAGAGGGAUAUGGGAUCAGGACCUGCACUCACCGUACUCUGAGGGAACAGGAGUAUGUCAGCACCUGGGGGGGAUAUAGGAUCACAGCCCAAACUCGCCGUACUCUGAGGGAACAGGAGUAUGUCGGCACCAGGAAGAUAUGGGAUCACAGCCCAAACUCACCACUGGCCGAGGGAACAGGAGUAUGCCGGCACCAGGGGGAUAUAGGAUCACUGCCUAGACUCCCUACAUGCCGGCUUAACUGGUUACACACAAGAGGCGGUGGCUUAGGUUUUGUGUAAAAAGGGUGUGUGUGUCUAUUUGUGUGUGUGUUUGUGUGUGUGUGUGUGUGUGUGCGCGCGCGCGUGCGUGUGAUGGGCUAUGACCAGUCGCCUCCAUUAGCUGCCUGAAGUUUGUCAUCUUAUCAAGCGAUUUCAGAAGAUUUGCAUAGACUAUACAGUACGGUUGUAGGAAGAAAAGAACACAAGUUUGCACUUGACCUUACUCAGCCAGCCUGGUGUGGCGUAUCUAAAACUGGCUUGCCUUCCUUUAAAGGAAGAAGAAAAUGCAUUUGAAGCACUUUGAUCGCAAAUGCAAAUUCCGGCGGUCCUGAUUGAUGUGUAACACUAACUCAGGGGAAGGGGGAAUCCUGGUACGGAGCCAGAUGGAGCCGAAGAUGUGGACCUAGGACUCGGAGACGCACCUGGGGGGCCAGUGUCUGUGCGGUAGACUUCCUGAAACCAGGGGGCUCAUUCCAUUUGCUUACUUUAUUGGUCUUUGCCUGACCCAGAAGUCAAUUGAGGUCCGCCAUCUUUAUAGGUACAAUAUGUAAUUUUGGACUCCUAACGGUCAAGAGAGGAAUUGCAGCAACAAACACCCUCAAACCACAACACUGUUUAUCCCUCCCCCUUCUCUGUGAACGCACUGACGUUGCCAAUGGCUGUGGCAAUUAGAACCAUUUUCAUUUUCAACCAACGAGCUUGAAUUAUUGUACAACUGUACAAUGCUUUGGUACAGUGUCAGUGCAUCAACUCUAUAUUUUGAAACCUGAACUUAAGGACUAUAAACACAGGCAGAGGGUGAGUCAACAUGUCAGUGAGACUUGUUAAGAAGGGAUUUACAAUGGCCUUAUAAUGUUUUAACAUAAAAACCUAUGGUUUUACCUAUGGUACCUUUAAGGUCAUUCCAAUCUGUUAAAUGCUUCUUGAAGGGGUAAGGAGGCUUCAGAGAGGAUACAGGAGCACCUCCAAGGCAGAAGUUUUUUUCGUUUUUUUCAAAACGUGCAAAAUAUAAAUGAUUGACCUGUGGAUCCACCUCUUCCCAUCUGUGACAUUCUGUAAAUGACAUGGUUUUAAACGGACGCUUGACUUAAAAAUGGACGUUCCUUUUGCCUGAUCCUGUCCACGUUUUCUCGAUUCCUCCGGCCUCGUGUCCUUUCCUUGCCUUCCUUUCCUAACGAGCGAGGAAAGGACACGAGUAAAGGACACAAGGAGUGAAAAUAAGCGGUUGGAAAGUGCCCGGGGGACAGGCAGCUCCUGCCCCCUCGCCCUCAAUGCUGGAUGACCCCCGGCAUGGCACCCAGUGGGAGGAGUCCCCAAAUCUUUAGGCUCCAGUGUGGAGGGGCGACAGACGGGCCCCACUCUGCUACCACCUGAGCGCCUGUGUCGCAAGCCACACGGAAUUACAUUUUAAUUAAUUAAAUUAACAUAAUAAUGAUUAACUCUGCUACUGUGGGGCAAAAUACAUGGAAACGCAGACCUGCAAACCAAAAUAAUUGGUUUGAAAAAAUUGACUCAUUUUAUUCCAGACAUUCAACAAGUUGUAAUGUUCAUAAAGGGUUUAGGGAACAAUUUUUAUGACUCAAAAACAGGAAAAUGUAUUUAAAGUGACCUUAAUCAUUGUAAAUAUGUGGCCACACAUAUAUUGGAUUGGGGGUGGUAAUAUGUGACAUCCAUGCUAUCCGUUUCCUCCUUAUUUAUUCCCUGCACUGUUAAAUGUGCAAACACAUUUUCAUAAUAUGUUUUAACAGUGCAAGGACAUGUAAUCAUUUUAUUAGGUAAACCAGUGAGCGCUUUUGCUGCUUACACUACAUUUGAAUGUAGCUUAUGGUAGAAGUCAAGACGCUGGCUUAUCAUUGUGCUGCUAUGAAAUGCUUAGUGUUUCUCCUCACUGCCAUUGUGACUGCAUUUUCCCAUGUGCUUGUUUCCUAUCAAAAUUCUCAGUAUGUAUCUGUACGAAGGGUCCUAACAAGGGUUCAUGCUUAAAGUGAAAUUGAACACCCAAAAAUGUAAGUACAGGAAUACCUGGAAAUAAUAUUGCCUUUUUCCACAACGCGCUUCAAAAGAUCCUUAAAACUAAAACGAGUCUCUAAAAUUGACCUUUUACAAGGAACUAUGUGUGACAAUUUGUUCAUUUGAAUUUGAUAUCAUAAUUUCAAUAGUAUCCCAAGAAAGGUAUAAGCCUACUAUUAUAACUAUUUUCAAGUAUACUGUUUUGCUUUUAGAGAACCGGCACACAUUUCCGUUUCUGGUUUUGUGCUUGGUCAUUGAAAAUGGGGAAACAGUGCUUGAGUGAGUACUUGAAAGUCCUUGAAUUUCAUGCCAUGUCUGUGUGAACCCAGUGUAUACAUUUUCCCCCGUAUGUACAGUUGUACGAAAUAAAAUGGAGAUUUAACUGAAAAAGAUCAGAAAAUACAAA
Long non-coding RNA from Conger conger (European conger), 3107 nucleotides. RefSeq lists it as uncharacterized. The record is from RefSeq and is a predicted model, not a curated record. Lineage: Eukaryota; Metazoa; Chordata; Actinopteri; Anguilliformes; Congridae. The transcript is spliced from 2 exons.